Molecule: ribosomal RNA, 490 nt
Filed under: uncultured bacterium
Lineage: Bacteria
Description: partial 16S ribosomal RNA
Rfam family: Bacterial small subunit ribosomal RNA
Source: RNAcentral
AGUGAACGCUGGCGGCAGGCCUAACACAUGCAAGUCGAACGGCAGCACAAGAGAGCUUGCUCUCUGGGUGGCGAGUGGCGGACGGGUGAGGAAUGCAUCGGAAUCUGCCCAUUUGUGGGGGAUAACCUCGGGAAACCGGGACUAGUACCGCAUACGACCUACGGGUGAAAGCAGGGGAUCUUCGGACCUUGCGCAGAUGGAUGAGCCGAUGCCGGAUUAGCUAGUUGGAGGGGUAAAGGCCCACCAAGGCGACGAUCCGUAGCUGGUCUGAGAGGAUGAUCAGCCACACUGGGACUGAGACACGGCCCAGACUCCUACGGGAGGCAGCAGUGGGGAAUAUUGGACAAUGGGCGCAAGCCUGAUCCAGCCAUGCCGCGUGUGUGAAGAAGGCCUUCGGGUUGUAAAGCACUUUUGUUGGGAAAGAAAAGCAGCCGGUUAAUACCCGGUUGUCAUGACGGUACCCAAAGAAUAAGCACCGGCUAACUUCGUG